AGCAUCUCAAUAUGUUUAAUGAGCGUUCGCAUCUACCUUUAACAUAAUUACAAUGACCCUUGGCUGACAAAUUGUAGUCUAAAACCAUUCCUAAGUACUUAACUUCGUCACGAAAGGAGAUUGUAGAUCCAUCAUAGGAUAAUUUUUCAUUAACAGUUUUUUUCCUUGGAGAGAAUAAAAUUGCAGAGGUUUUCGGAACUGAAAGGUCUAACCCAUUAUUAUUUAAAUAUAUAUUUAGCUCCUUCAAACUAGAAUUUAUAAUUUCGCAGGCCUUUUGAACGGAUCUAUUUCUAGAGUAAAGCACUAUGUCAUCGGCAUAUUGUAAAAUGGAUAUAUAAUCUGGCAAAUUAGAACUAAGGUCGUAUGUAUAUACAUUAAAAAGUAAAGGGCUUAGAACAGAACCCUGUGGUAGUCCUUUCCAAACAGUCCUAUGUAAUACUUUAUCAUCUAAAUCUAACCUAAUCGAUCGUUCAUAAAACAUAGCAGCAAUAAUAUUACACAAGCGUACAGGAACUCCCAAGAGAAACAAUUUAUUUACAAGAAUUGAUAUAUUUACAUUAUCAUAGGCAGAAUUGAUAUCUAUAAAACAAGCUACUACAUAUUCCCGUUUCGAGAAGGCUAAAAGGAUAUCCGAAACUAACAAACUAACACAGUCUAAAGUGCUUCGGCUUUUGCGAAAACCAUAUUGAAUAUCCGGUAAUAGUUUCUUACUUUCAAUAAACCACUCCAACCUAUUUUUAACUAAAUGUUCCAAAAUCUUAAUUAAAACAGAUGAUAACGCAAUUGGACGAUAAGAAUUUGGAUCAUUACGGGGUUUAUUCGGUUUGAGAAAGGGUAACACCAACUGUAUUUUCCAGUUUGGUGGAAUGUCACCUGUCAUAAAAAUCCCGUUAAUAAUAUUGAGAAAGUAACCUAUAACCUUGUCACUAGAAUGUUUCAAAAAUGAAUAUGGAAUACCGUCGCAACCUGGUGCGGAAUCAAUGACAUACGAUAAGACAUUCUUUAGCUCCAAUAACGAGAAUGGAUCAUUAAAACGCUGCAUGUUAUCAUUAUCAAUAUUGGUUGGGGAAGCCAGUUCAAUACACACGGGGGAUGGGACGAAUGGAGGAGCUAAUUUAUCUAAAAACUUCUCAGCUACUUUAGGAUCAAGAUUAAGGGUGUUAUUUUCUACAAAAGCUCCUCUAAACAUUCUAACCUUUCUCCAAACUUCUGACGGCUUCUGAACAUUCAGAAUCCCACCAUGGAGGGCUGGGAAUAUUGAAUUUAGAGGACUUCUUACGCGGAAAUACUUCAUCAGCUAUAUUAAUUAUAAACUUAGCAAAAGCAUCAGAAGUUUUAAACAAAUGUUCCCGAGAUACAUCAGGAAAAGAAAUAAGAAUUGGAAAAUGAUCACUGCCAUAGGAAAGUGGAAGUACCUCCCACAAUAAGGAAUGUGAAAUGGAAGAACUACAAAUUGAUAAAUCUAAUGCACUAGGAUUUUCAUUGGGAGCAGACCGACGCGUGGGAACACCAGAAUUUAAUAUACAUAAAUUAUAAUAAUCAA
Long non-coding RNA from Cydia fagiglandana, 1543 nucleotides. RefSeq lists it as uncharacterized. The record is from RefSeq and is a predicted model, not a curated record. NCBI's taxonomy places the organism in Eukaryota, Metazoa, Arthropoda, Insecta, Lepidoptera, Tortricidae. The transcript has 3 exons.